AAGCGCUUACGAAUUCGCCCUUCUUGGUCAUUUAGAGGAAGUAAAAGUCUAACAAGGUUUUCCUUCCGGUUAAAAGCUGUAACCUGCUGAAGCCUGACUGGCGACUAAAAAUAAUCAUGGAGUCUUACCGACGAGGGAGGACAAUACGCUGAAUUGCUGUGAUCAACGAAUUGUUGUACCAGCAGCCCGUAACAGGCCCACAGAUCAAGCCGCGGUGGUUUUACCUAGAAUAAUUAGGCAGAACUCAAUAUGACCGGUCUCGCCUGUUGAGGGCAGAGAGUGAACGUUCCGUAGUGAACCUGCGGAAGGAUCAUUACCGAGUUAGGGUCUUCCAGGCCCGACCCCAACCCUUUGUUUACUCUACCAUGUUGCUUUGGCGGGCCCGCCUUUAGGGCCGUAGGGGGCUUUACCGCCUCUGGCUCGUGCUCGCCAGUGGCCUUUUAAAUUCUUUAAUUGUGUUGUCUGAGUACAAAUAUCAAUCGUUUUAAAAUUUCAACAACGGAUCUCUUGGUUCUGGCAUCGAUGAAGAACGCAGCGAAUGCGAUAAGUAAUGCGAAUUGCAGAAUUCAGUGAGUCAUCGAAUCUUUGACGCAUAUUGCGCACAUUGGUAUUCCGAAGGGCAUGCCUGUUCGAGCGUAUUAUCAACCAUCAAGCCUGGCUUGUCGUUGGACCCUCUUUGUUGCCCAGCGACAGGUCCGAAAGAUAAUGAACGGUGUCCUGCUGGCCCUAAAUGCACGAGCUUUUUAUAGCACGCAUUUAGUGGUUGGUAGGCCCGGUCUCAAUCUUUUUCUAAAGUUGACCUCGGAUCAGGUAGGAAUACCCGCUGAACUUAACAUAUCAAUAAGCGGAGGAA
Molecule: ribosomal RNA, 853 nt
Filed under: uncultured fungus
Lineage: Eukaryota; Fungi
Description: eukaryotic LSU rRNA
Rfam family: 5.8S ribosomal RNA (bases 488-639)
Source: RNAcentral